GAAGAAGGGAGGGCAUGUUGGAGAGAAUCACGAGAGCCCAAUAGGCCAUUGGCAGUGGUGAAGAGAUUAAUGGGAGAGGAGCCGUCUGUAAUAAGAGUAGACUUCAGACCCAAAGACUGCAGGAGCUUCACCUGGAAGACAAAACGUCGUACACCUGCACGGUGGCGUUGUGUGGGAUACGAUAAGACACCACUCUGGUUUUAUCCCGCUCCGCCUGCCCAAAGCUCCUUCCUCGAUCUGAGCGGUCAGCCAGCGGAUCACGGGACUGCGCCAGAAGAGACUCUACAUUGGCCGGAAGCUCUUUCUCCCACAAUUCCUCAUCCUGCGUCAGCAUGCGUUUUCUUAUCACGUAAACAUGAAGACAAACAUUUUGGGAAUGCUCAUGGGGUCAUAUCAACUAUUCAGAAUAAGGGUCAAAGGCUUGUGAAACAGGAAGCAAACAUGUCCUGUACCCCCUGAGUGUCAAUGAAGGCCUCGACGGCGCGCAGCACAAGCCCUUCCUCCUCAGACAGCACAUACACAUCCUGAAUGCCGUUCUCCAGAUGCUCACCGGGCAUGAGGAAGAAUGAACGCUCACCCUAUUAGAUGAGGAGACACAGAGAAGAGGUUUUUAUCAGUAUAUGCUAUACCUGCAGCAAUCACAUACAUUCAUUCAUUCA
Non-coding RNA from Danio rerio (zebrafish), 659 nucleotides. NCBI's taxonomy places the organism in Eukaryota, Metazoa, Chordata, Actinopteri, Cypriniformes, Danionidae. The record is from Ensembl.